This 77-nucleotide transfer RNA is filed under the name Pseudomonadota bacterium. RNAcentral describes it as "tRNA-Pro". It matches the Rfam family "tRNA". From Rfam's summary of the family: Transfer RNA (tRNA) molecules are approximately 80 nucleotides in length. Their secondary structure includes four short double-helical elements and three loops (D, anti-codon, and T loops). Lineage: Bacteria; Pseudomonadati; Pseudomonadota. The record is from RNAcentral. RNAcentral also lists the same sequence under 1 other name.
CGGAGCGUGGCGCAGUCUGGUAGCGCACUUCACUGGGGGUGAAGGGGUCGCUGGUUCGAGUCCAGUCGCUCCGACCA